UUGAACGCUGGCGGCAGGCCUAACACAUGCCAGUCGAGCGGAUGAAGGGAGCUUGCUCCUGGAUUCAGCGGCGGACGGGUGAGUAAUGCCUAGGAAUCUGCCUGGUAGUGGGGGAUAACGUCCGGAAACGGGCGCUAAUACCGCAUACGUCCUGAGGGAGAAAGUGGGGGAUCUUCGGACCUCACGCUAUCAGAUGAGCCUAGGUCGGAUUAGCUAGUUGGUGGGGUAAAGGCCUACCAAGGCGACGAUCCGUAACUGGUCUGAGGGGAUGAUCAGUCACACUGGAACUGAGACACGGUCCAGACUCCUACGGGAGGCAGCAGUGGGGAAUAUUGGACAAUGGGCGAAAGCCUGUUCCAGCCAUGCCGCGUGUGUGAAGAAGGUCUUCGGAUUGUAAAGCACUUUAAGUUGGGAGGAAGGGCAGUAAGUUAAUACCUUGCUGUUUUGACGUUACCAACAGAAUAAGCACCGGCUAACUUCGUG
This 483-nucleotide ribosomal RNA is filed under the name uncultured bacterium. Its description in RNAcentral is "partial 16S ribosomal RNA". It matches the Rfam family "Bacterial small subunit ribosomal RNA", at positions 30 to 507 of the family's 1533-position model. The record is from RNAcentral.